Molecule: non-coding RNA, 73 nt
Organism: Pangasianodon gigas (Mekong giant catfish)
Lineage: Eukaryota; Metazoa; Chordata; Actinopteri; Siluriformes; Pangasiidae
Source: the annotation of a GenBank genome assembly
UCCCUGGAGGACUAGUGGUUAGGCCUCAGCGCUCUCACCGCUGUGGCCCGGGUUCGGCUCCCGGGCCAGGCAA